This 489-nucleotide ribosomal RNA is filed under the name uncultured bacterium. RNAcentral's name for it is "partial 16S ribosomal RNA". It matches the Rfam family "Bacterial small subunit ribosomal RNA", at positions 29 to 504 of the family's 1533-position model. The record is from RNAcentral.
AGUGAACGCUGGCGGUAGGCCUAACACAUGCAAGUCGAACGGCAGCACAGUAAGAGCUUGCUCUUACGGGUGGCGAGUGGCGGACGGGUGAGGAAUACAUCGGAAUCUACUUUUUCGUGGGGGAUAACGUAGGGAAACUUACGCUAAUACCGCAUACGACCUACGGGUGAAAGCAGGGGAUCUUCGGACCUUGCGCGAUUGAAUGAGCCGAUGUCGGAUUAGCUAGUUGGCGGGGUAAAGGCCCACCAAGGCGACGAUCCGUAGCUGGUCUGAGAGGAUGAUCAGCCACACUGGAACUGAGACACGGUCCAGACUCCUACGGGAGGCAGCAGUGGGGAAUAGUGGACAAUGGGCGCAAGCCUGAUCCAGCCAUACCGCGUGGGUGAAGAAGGCCUUCGGGUUGUAAAGCCCUUUUGUUGGGAAAGAAAAGCAGCAGGUUAAUACCCCGCUGUUCUGACGGUACCUAAAGAAUAAGCACCGGCUAACUUC